ACUUCACAUCCAGAAUGCUAGUGGGUGAGCUACAGCUUGUGACUCAGAUGAUCAUGGAGUAUUUACCAGGCCCACUCACAGCACAAAGGAGGGAGUGAUCAUCUCCUCAGAGGUUGGGGUGGAGCAGGAGCAUGGAAUUCUUGCCAGAGUCACAGAGGAAGGCAUUGCAUGGGGACAAUUGGGAAUUACCCUGAGGAUGGCAGCUCAAAGUGAGAUGAAAUUUCCUGAUACAAGGUUUCUCAUGAAGCAAGACUUUGUGGGAUUUGAG
Molecule: long non-coding RNA, 268 nt
Organism: Galeopterus variegatus (Sunda flying lemur)
Lineage: Eukaryota; Metazoa; Chordata; Mammalia; Dermoptera; Cynocephalidae
Exons: 3
Source: RefSeq, a predicted model, not a curated record